Molecule: ribosomal RNA, 2901 nt
Filed under: human gut metagenome
Description: bacterial LSU rRNA
Rfam family: Bacterial large subunit ribosomal RNA
Source: RNAcentral
UUAAGCGACUAAGCGUACACGGUGGAUGCCCUGGCAGUCAGAGGCGAUGAAGGACGUGCUAAUCUGCGAUAAGCGUCGGUAAGGUGAUAUGAACCGUUAUAACCGGCGAUUUCCGAAUGGGGAAACCCAGUGUGUUUCGACACACUAUCAUUAACUGAAUCCAUAGGUUAAUGAGGCGAACCGGGGGAACUGAAACAUCUAAGUACCCCGAGGAAAAGAAAUCAACCGAGAUUCCCCCAGUAGCGGCGAGCGAACGGGGAGGAGCCCAGAGCCUGAAUCAGUGUGUGUGUUAGUGGAAGCGUCUGGAAAGGCGCGCGAUACAGGGUGACAGCCCCGUACACAAAAAUGCACAUGCUGUGAGCUCGAUGAGUAGGGCGGGACACGUGGUAUCCUGUCUGAAUAUGGGGGGACCAUCCUCCAAGGCUAAAUACUCCUGACUGACCGAUAGUGAACCAGUACCGUGAGGGAAAGGCGAAAAGAACCCCGGCGAGGGGAGUGAAAAAGAACCUGAAACCGUGUACGUACAAGCAGUGGGAGCACGCUUAGGCGUGUGACUGCGUACCUUUUGUAUAAUGGGUCAGCGACUUAUAUUCUGUAGCAAGGUUAACCGAAUAGGGGAGCCGAAGGGAAACCGAGUCUUAACUGGGCGUUAAGUUGCAGGGUAUAGACCCGAAACCCGGUGAUCUAGCCAUGGGCAGGUUGAAGGUUGGGUAACACUAACUGGAGGACCGAACCGACUAAUGUUGAAAAAUUAGCGGAUGACUUGUGGCUGGGGGUGAAAGGCCAAUCAAACCGGGAGAUAGCUGGUUCUCCCCGAAAGCUAUUUAGGUAGCGCCUCGUGAAUUCAUCUCCGGGGGUAGAGCACUGUUUCGGCAAGGGGGUCAUCCCGACUUACCAACCCGAUGCAAACUGCGAAUACCGGAGAAUGUUAUCACGGGAGACACACGGCGGGUGCUAACGUCCGUCGUGAAGAGGGAAACAACCCAGACCGCCAGCUAAGGUCCCAAAGUCAUGGUUAAGUGGGAAACGAUGUGGGAAGGCCCAGACAGCCAGGAUGUUGGCUUAGAAGCAGCCAUCAUUUAAAGAAAGCGUAAUAGCUCACUGGUCGAGUCGGCCUGCGCGGAAGAUGUAACGGGGCUAAACCAUGCACCGAAGCUGCGGCAGCGACACUGUGUGUUGUUGGGUAGGGGAGCGUUCUGUAAGCCUGUGAAGGUGUACUGUGAGGUAUGCUGGAGGUAUCAGAAGUGCGAAUGCUGACAUAAGUAACGAUAAAGCGGGUGAAAAGCCCGCUCGCCGGAAGACCAAGGGUUCCUGUCCAACGUUAAUCGGGGCAGGGUGAGUCGACCCCUAAGGCGAGGCCGAAAGGCGUAGUCGAUGGGAAACAGGUUAAUAUUCCUGUACUUGGUGUUACUGCGAAGGGGGGACGGAGAAGGCUAUGUUGGCCGGGCGACGGUUGUCCCGGUUUAAGCGUGUAGGCUGGUUUUCCAGGCAAAUCCGGAAAAUCAAGGCUGAGGCGUGAUGACGAGGCACUACGGUGCUGAAGCAACAAAUGCCCUGCUUCCAGGAAAAGCCUCUAAGCAUCAGGUAACAUCAAAUCGUACCCCAAACCGACACAGGUGGUCAGGUAGAGAAUACCAAGGCGCUUGAGAGAACUCGGGUGAAGGAACUAGGCAAAAUGGUGCCGUAACUUCGGGAGAAGGCACGCUGAUAUGUAGGUGAAGCGACUUGCUCGUGGAGCUGAAAUCAGUCGAAGAUACCAGCUGGCUGCAACUGUUUAUUAAAAACACAGCACUGUGCAAACACGAAAGUGGACGUAUACGGUGUGACGCCUGCCCGGUGCCGGAAGGUUAAUUGAUGGGGUUAGCGCAAGCGAAGCUCUUGAUCGAAGCCCCGGUAAACGGCGGCCGUAACUAUAACGGUCCUAAGGUAGCGAAAUUCCUUGUCGGGUAAGUUCCGACCUGCACGAAUGGCGUAAUGAUGGCCAGGCUGUCUCCACCCGAGACUCAGUGAAAUUGAACUCGCUGUGAAGAUGCAGUGUACCCGCGGCAAGACGGAAAGACCCCGUGAACCUUUACUAUAGCUUGACACUGAACAUUGAGCCUUGAUGUGUAGGAUAGGUGGGAGGCUUUGAAGUGUGGACGCCAGUCUGCAUGGAGCCGACCUUGAAAUACCACCCUUUAAUGUUUGAUGUUCUAACGUUGACCCGUGAUCCGGGUUGCGGACAGUGUCUGGUGGGUAGUUUGACUGGGGCGGUCUCCUCCUAAAGAGUAACGGAGGAGCACGAAGGUUGGCUAAUCCUGGUCGGACAUCAGGAGGUUAGUGCAAUGGCAUAAGCCAGCUUGACUGCGAGCGUGACGGCGCGAGCAGGUGCGAAAGCAGGUCAUAGUGAUCCGGUGGUUCUGAAUGGAAGGGCCAUCGCUCAACGGAUAAAAGGUACUCCGGGGAUAACAGGCUGAUACCGCCCAAGAGUUCAUAUCGACGGCGGUGUUUGGCACCUCGAUGUCGGCUCAUCACAUCCUGGGGCUGAAGUAGGUCCCAAGGGUAUGGCUGUUCGCCAUUUAAAGUGGUACGCGAGCUGGGUUUAGAACGUCGUGAGACAGUUCGGUCCCUAUCUGCCGUGGGCGCUGGAGAACUGAGGGGGGCUGCUCCUAGUACGAGAGGACCGGAGUGGACGCAUCACUGGUGUUCGGGUUGUCAUGCCAAUGGCACUGCCCGGUAGCUAAAUGCGGAAGAGAUAAGUGCUGAAAGCAUCUAAGCACGAAACUUGCCCCGAGAUGAGUUCUCCCUGACUCCUUGAGAGUCCUGAAGGAACGUUGAAGACGACGACGUUGAUAGGCCGGGUGUGUAAGCGCAGCGAUGCGUUGAGCUAACCGGUACUAAUGAACCGUGAGGCUUAACCUU